ACCUCCGUCGGCUGGGAUUUAGGUCAUGAACCCAUUUCUCCAAACCUCCAUCACCGUUGAGCACUUGGUCCGGGACUUUGGUUGUGGUUUCUUGUUUCAACGAAAGCACAAGUCACCCUCUCCACCCGGAAUAAAAUCUUGAUAACAGUCACCUAGUGCAAGACCCAUUAUGCUCAAGGCCUAAGCAUAAACUUCGGCGAUGACCCAUAGACGGCAGCCUUCAGACUCAAUACGAAUUCGUGCUUUUUCAGGAAGAAGGGAAGCAAAUUUAUAGAAUCCGACAAUUCAAGCAUCGAAGUUUUCUGGGAUCUCUCCACUGCGAAGUAUGACGCGGGAACUGAACCUGUCGAGGGGUACUUCCAUCUGCUUGUCAUGGUUGAUUCAGAAAUAGGCCUAAAUGUAGGCGACAUAGCUGAAGAAACUGUCGCCAAAGAAAUUCAAAACUACGGCUUCUGCUGCAAGUGUCUCUCUGAUUUCGUCUUUAAUUUGUUUCAUAGGAUUAUAUCGGAUGUUUUUACGUCUAUUGUUAUUUUUUGAUUUUUGAUGACUUAUAA
This is a long non-coding RNA of Alnus glutinosa, 554 nucleotides long. RefSeq lists it as uncharacterized. The record is from RefSeq and is a predicted model, not a curated record. NCBI's taxonomy places the organism in Eukaryota, Viridiplantae, Streptophyta, Magnoliopsida, Fagales, Betulaceae. The transcript has 2 exons.